GAGAGAGGUAUAAAACAAUAAGAACUGCUAAUUCUUAGCCCCGCAGUUAA
RNAcentral lists this transfer RNA (50 nucleotides) under Nematogenys inermis. Its description in RNAcentral is "partial tRNA-Ser". The record is from RNAcentral. Lineage: Eukaryota; Metazoa; Chordata; Actinopteri; Siluriformes; Nematogenyidae.